Molecule: long non-coding RNA, 240 nt
Filed under: Drosophila guanche
Lineage: Eukaryota; Metazoa; Arthropoda; Insecta; Diptera; Drosophilidae
Source: RNAcentral
CUUAUAUAGAUAGGUUUUAUAGGGUUUCGGUCUUGGAGCCUGAGAUUUUAAACAUUUCGUCAAUUCUGGCAUAUCUCUCCCACCAAGUGUACUAAAUGUUGUCAAGGAUGUUGUUAUGAUCCUCGAGGGGGACAUUUAGAGCAGAUAAAAAAUAAGUCUUUGAUAUUAUAGACAAGAUUGUGUUUGAAGUUAAGUGUAAUAAGACAAUUAAACGUUCUGUUAUUAAUGGCUUGAGUACCC